CACCAUCACCUCCUUUGCCAGAACCUGAAGAAGAAGUGGAGAAAGUGGAAAAGCCUAUUGCUGAACCACCAGAUUUGUUGGUAAUUUCAAUGUCUCUUUUUUCAGUUUCAUCUGCAAAUUUUGUAGUUUCAUUUUGAACUUUUCUUUUUGUUGCUAGGGACUAAAUGAUCCCGCCCCAGUUGAUUCUAAAUUAGAUGAGAAGAAUGCCUUGGCAUUGGCCAUUGUUCCUGCUGGUGGUUUUCCAGCUGAGCAAACGACUUCUACUGCUGCUCAAGUUCAAGCAAAUGGUACUACGGGCUGGGAAUUGGCACUUGUCACUGCUCCAAGCUCAAAUGACAGUGCCACUGCCACUAACAAAAUGGUACAUAUUAGAAGGCUAUCGGCAUAUUAGACUGUAAUGACUUGUUCAUGUAUGUCUCACAGAUACUAUUUUAAUUGAAAGGCUGGAGGAUUCGACAAGUUUAUAUUGGACAGCCUGUAUGAGGAUGCACUCCAAAGAAGCAACCAAAACGUCAGCUAUAAUCCAUGGGAACCACCUCCAGCAUCUGCUGCUAUGAUGCAACAACCAAUACAAGAACCCUUUUACGGCUCUGACCCACCUUCAGUCCAGAUAGCCGCAAUGGCGAACCAGCAUCAGGCUUUCAUGCUGCAGCAGCAGAUGCUGAUGAUGAUGGGCCCACAACAGUCGCCUUCUAAUGCUUUCGUAAAUACUUAUGGAGCCAGUGUCAGCCCUUGCAACUCAGGUAUGCCUGUUCAGCCAUAUACAGGCCUUAUAUAGACACGCUGGACGAGAAAAAUGUCGAGGCACACGAAGAUGCAACGUUCGAAUUGUCAAAUGUGAACAUGUUUUGUAGCAUAUUUUGUCAAUGCCCAGCAAUUAGCGUAUUCUUUUGUUAUUUGAUUAUUUUCAUUGAUCAUCUGUAAUUAGCUUAGCUAUAUUAAGAAUAAACAUGUCUGUUUAUUUGUUUAAAUUUGUUUGUUUAUGGAUUCAUCAACUGGUUUUAAAAAUAUGUUACAAAUAGAUGUGUAUGUAUAUAUGUGAAAAAUAAAAAGAUGGGACAAAUCAGGAAAAGCCACUGCCUUGUUACAUCAACCAGGACGACAAAAAAAAGAGUCCAUCAAAAAACAAAUGCGAACAGAAUAUAAGCGAUGAUCAGCGAAAGCAGCAGUAUCAAUGUCACCCUGCAAGACAAACAAAAAUUCAUAAAUGAAAUUGCUGCUAAAAGACUGAACUAUGAUUAGCCUCUCUCUCUCUCUCUCUCUCUAUAUAUAUAUAUAUGUACUUACGUGAUCUUGCAAUUACUCCACCACAUGGCAUUCUUGUAACGACGAGAUUGCUUUUUGAAUCGAAGUGAAUUCCCCUGCAUUGUGCUUGCCUUUUCAACCAGCAACUCCAACCGGUCGCCUCUCUCCAAUACUUUUUCAAUGUUGUCAAUCAUUACACUACGUACCUGUACGUACAAAUUUAUGAAAAAAUUGGAAUUUCAGGGAUAAAAAUCAUAAUAUAUAUAUAUGCAAAAUUUGCCUACGUACGUACCUGGCUCAUUUCCCCUUUCAACCGGUUUAAUCUAUCAGCAUUGGGAUCAGUUGAAAAAUGUUCCAUUUGUUGACUCAUGACCCUGGAGAAUUCUUCAUUCAUAGCAUAACCCGAAGCUGACUGAAUAGCACGACCAUAUGUCUUUACAAAUUUUUGAUGAAUCUCUUCAAGGAAAGCAAAAGGGAUUCUCCCUAUAUACAUAAUUCAUAAUAUCAAUAAAAUUAAUCAAAUGCCAACCAAUGAGAAAUAAAGAAAAACAUGGAAUAAUUGUAAAGGAAGCUGCUUACUGCCGGAGGCAUCAUCGGCCAUGCAAAGAACGGUGAGGCCAUCGGUUCUUUUGACAUGAAAAAUAUAACGAUCAUGGGAAAAAGAAGAAUUGCUAUCGUUCUUUCCUUGGCUCAUCUUCUCCAAAAUCUGUCUUGCUACGGUGCUGGCAUUUGUUUGAGUAGCGCUAAACUCCGCCAAAACAACCUGCCCCCUUGCCACCAUCCCAUAUAAAAUCCCCAUUUUCUUAAAUGGGGAGUUGGCGAUUGAGGAUCGGUGGCGUGGAUGCUAGAUUUUUAAGGGCUGAGAAAUGAGAAAAUGGAACGGCAAAAUAUAUUUAUAUAAUAAAACAAAGAAAGAGAGGAGGGAAGGAAUAGAUACAGGGAUGAAUUGGCGAGUUUGACGGGUUAAAGAAACGUGGACCAAUCAUAUUGCGUUUCCAUGGGUGGGAAACAAAUGGAAAAAAAAGAAAGGGUGUACAGUCUGGAUAUGAUGCUGCUGCAAUCAAAACCGUCACUAACACUUCAUCGUUCCACUUUAUUUAAUCCCAUUAGCUCUCCGACUGUUUUUCCUUUUCCCUUCAUUUAUAGCAUAAUUAAUAAUUGUAACAAUACCAUAAUUUGUAAUCCCAUAAUAGAAUGCUAAAAUAUUUUGUUAAAUAAAGACUACAAUUCAGACAAAUAACUCAUAUGUGGUCAAGGUUUUGAUUAAGGGGUUGGAAGAUUUAAGUCGCAUCGUAUUUAGAAAGGUUUAUAGGGUUAUGCAUUCUGAAUGAUAGUGGAUCAAAAAUGUGCCCAGAGAAAAUAAUUUAAUUGCGGAUCGUUUGGCUAGACUCUGUUUAGCAUGGAAGUCAAGCUUAUAAAUUUUUUAUGUUCCUCCAAAUGAUGUGUUGGAGGCUCUUCAAUAAGACAAAACGGUACAUUUGAGCAAUAUUCAUUUAAUGUAAUCUUGUUUUAUUUUUCACUAAAAAAAAUUCAGUACCUAUCUAAGUAAUCCAAAAGAGAGAAACAUUCAUUUUUUGGUAAAAGAAUGGUGAAGGUACUUGGAUUUGAAGUCAAAUUACAUUUUAUCCCCUUUACUUAAAAAAUGAAUAAAUUAGUCACCAUGCGUUAAAUCAAAGAAUAAAUUGGUUGUUUCUAUUAAAUAUACAAUCAUUAUUUAUUGUUAAAAACUAACGUGACGGACAUAAUAACCAAACAAUAACACAUGAGCAUAUCACGUGUACUUUAUGCUGACAUACAAUGACUCGUUUUUAACCGUAAAAAUAGAUGAAAUAUUUAAUAAAAAGACCAACUUAUUCUUUAAUCUAAAAUAUAAGAAUUAAUUUACAUACUUUUUUGAAUAAAUUGAUAUGAUUUAAAAAUAUGUUCAUGAAUAAAUAUAUAUAAUUUAUUUUAUUUAAAUUGCAUGUUUUAAAUUUUAAUUCAAUUGUUCACUAUUUGAUUUUAUACAUUUCAUAGAUUACUUCGUAGAUUUAAAGUUAAAUUGCUUUUAGUGUUGAAAUAUUUUCCUUUAGGGAAAAAAGAUUUUCGAAAGUAAUUUAAGAAUCUAGAAAUUAAAAGGUUAAAUUUUGUUAUUAAUAUAUGUACUUUUUGAAAAUUGUGAAUUUAGUCCAUAUACUUUAAAUUGAUAAAUAUUAGUACAUGAACUUUUUGAAUUGGUCGAUUUCAGUCCGUGUAUUUUUUUAUUUUUGAAAUUUUAGUCUUGACUGAAAUAGUAGCAAUUAAAACCGUUUGGUUAAAUUCAAUUAUUAGUAUUGUAUUGUACUUACAGUUGUACAUUUAGUCAAUAUUCUCUAAUUGGAUCAUUCUAAGUCCCUAUAAUUUUUUUAAUUUUGAAAUAUAUUUGUCAACACAAAUGACCGCCAUUAAUCCAUUAACUAGAUUUUUAGCGAGUGAUAUGUGGAAAUAACAAGUUGAUAUGGAAUUAUAUAUAUGUUAAUAUGUUUGUCGCGUUAUAUUUUUUAAAUAAAAAACAUUAAUUUAAUAAAUUUAACAGUUAUUGUUCGGUGAGGACUAAAUAUGAUCAAAUUAAAAUACAGGUGUUAAAUCCACAACUUUCAUAAAGUACAGGGAUUAAUAUCAAAUUUUAAUCAAAUUAAAAUGUUGAUUGUUAUCCCAUUGUUUAACCCAAAGGCCCUAAUGAAUUUCUUUUUCUGGGUUUCAUUAAUUUUGGGUUGUGAAGUUCAGAGCUUGUCGACUGAUCUUUGGCCCAAAUUAAACUCAAUAUAUGUUUCACUUUUUAAAAUAAACCACAAAAUAUAGGAAAAUUAGUCAAAUAUUGCGUCCGUUAUCCUCCUUAAUUAGAUGAAGACAUAAAAUAUAAUUAUUAUAAUUUAAUUUUAAUUAAUGAAGAUAAUGUAUAAAAUUAAUGAUUACGUAGAUUCUUUAAUAAUAUCACCCUUUAAAAUAAACUAAAAAUAACAACCUUAUAAAGAAAUACGAAAAUAUAGAUAGUAAAACUAGUCAUACGUGUCAAUACAUAAUUAAAAUAUUUCAAGAUUUCAUAUUAUAUACGCUUUGCAUUUGAUUAACUAUUAAUUAUUUUUAAAUUAUAUUACAAGUCCAUAUUUGAAUAUUAAAAUAUACUUUUAAGUCUUUAUACUUUUUGUAUAUUUAAAAUUUAGUAUUUUUAUUUUUUUUAAAUUUAGUUUAUCUAAUUUUCAAAAUUAAAAUCCAGAUUCAAUUAUUAACACUAUUAAAUUAUUUUAUUAAAUUCACUAGUAUAACAUUUUGAAAUUUAAAAAAAAAAUACUCACUUGAUAGUCAUGUAACAAAAAAAAAACAUUACAAUGAUAUAAAAAUUUGAGGUAUCAAAUUAUGUCAAUAAAUUAAAAUAUAAAAAUUGAACCUUAAAUUGAGUAUACGCAAAGAUCAAAAUUGAAAUAUGACCGUUGCUAUAUAAUCUAAAAUUUAAGUAUAGUGCAAAGAUUAAAAUUAAAAUUUUAUUAUUUUUUAUAAAAUGCCAAAAAGAGAGAGAGAGAGAAGAGGAUGACCUUCUUUUUAUAUAUAUAAUUAUAUACAUCCAAAAUUUAAAUUACAAAAUUAAAUAUUUUUUAUUGAACUUAUUGGGUAAUAGUUUCGUUUGAAUAAGAUACGAUUUACCAUUUGACUGAUGAGGUAUAUAGUCAAUGGUUAACCUAACUUGGAUUGGUUUAACAAACAUAAUGAUUUCCUGAAAGUUUGAAAUCGAUGAUUAAGAGUGAAAUCAUAAAUCAAUGAUUACACGCAAUGGAAUAUUAGUACAAAUAUUCUAAUGCUUUAAAUAAAGUUAACUUUUACUUAAAUAAAAAAAAAUUACUGUUGAUCCAUUAUACUUUUUAUCUUCCAAGUUCCAAUAAAAUUCUAAAAAAAUUAAUAAAUUAUACAAUCUAAUAAUCCAUUUAAAUUUUAAAGUGAAUGCUUCGUAAAAAAGUUUUUGGAGUUGAAUUUGAAUUUUUUUUUCACAUUAAUAUUUAUAUAUUUAUAUUAUUUUAAUUUUUAUCUGAGUUAGUGGAUUAAAAAUAUCGGUAAAUUAUUUCAAAGUUUUCAUUUAAAAGUCAUUGAACUGUUAAAUUUAUUGUUGUAUGGUGUUUUUGUUCGUACCGCCUACAUCAAUUGAACGCUUUCUUUCCUCUUAUUUUCUUCAGUUAAGUGAAUCAAAAUUUAAACAUCUUUUUAUUUUGAUCUUCAACACUGGCUGCCAGAUCAACUUGGUUCUGAGAUAUGUUAUUCUACUCGUUAACGGACACUGAUCCACCAUAUCGAUUGUUGGAUCAUCGUUUAGAACUCGUUAGCUGAACUCAAAAAAACAAACAAACAAACAGCCUAGUAAUUUAAAUAAGAACAUUUGAAUAGUUUAAUGACUUAAAUAAAAAUUUUUAAAUAGUUUAACAACCAUUUUAUAAUUUUUUAAAAUUUAAAUAAUCAAAACAUAAAUUUUUUUGAUAAUUUAGUGACAUGUGACCUUAAAAUUAAAAUUCCUUAGCAUGGAAGUAAAUCCAAAUUAUAUUAUGUAAAACGACUAACUUUUAGGGACCAUUUCUAAAUGAAUUUAUCUUCUAUUACAAUAUUUGCUCUUAGAUGGUAGGAAUGGCGUAAAGUUCAAUUGUAAGUACAAGUGAUGUAUCAUUCAAAUAUAAAAUUUUGUAUGAAUCCAGUUUUUCCACCACAAGCUUUGAUGAUGACGGAGAAUGACGAAUCAGGGAGAUAGAAAAGGGGGAAACAAGACAUAGACAAUAGACAAUGACAGCGUGAGAGACCCAUCACAUCGGGUUGAGGAAGACGAAGGAAAGGCACAAAUCACGGAUCAAGAUGAAUACAAGAAAAAGCCAUGCAUUCACGGACGGACGCUCCCUCUAUCACUAAUAUUUUUGUUUAUUUAUAUAUAUUUCUUUUAUCGUGGCCGUUAAUUAUCUUAACAGGAUUGAAUUGAGUAUUGAUCGAAAUAUUAAUUCGAAUAAAAAUAUUAAAUCAAUGGAAUCAUAAAUUGAUAUAAAUUGAUUAAAUUAAAUUAAAAUUUUAAUUGAAUUGGCUCGUGAAUUAUUUUUUUAUUUAUUUUUAUAUAUUUUAAUAAUUUAUUUAAUCAGUUCGAGGGACCGAUAAACCAAUCACAUUACCGGUUCGACCAAAUCUUAUGGCCUUCCCCACCGCCAUUCUCUCCUCUCUCCCUUGCAACAACAAUUUCACAUGCUUUUGCUGUACACCAAACCAAACAUGCGUUUGCUUUUUUUUUCUUUUUUUAAUUAGUGAAGUUUCCCUUUUAAUAUUUAUAUAUCUCAACCUUUUCUAAUUACUAUCAUGAUCAUAAAAGAGUUAAGAGGUUGUGUUUUUUCGUUUUAGGUAUAAUAUGCAUUUUAGUCCUCAACAUUUAUAUCUUUUUGUUAAUUUGACUUUUUUUUUUCUUUUAGUUAAAAUUGACUUUUAAUCUUUUCUAAAAAUAGUAAAAUUUAACUAUCAAUUUAAGUUAAAAGAUAAAUAGUGUUAUGUCAAUAUAAAGUAUGCAUAGACUGACAUAUGGGUUUCAAUUAACAUUUCCAUUAAAAAAAACUAUUUUUUGACUUUUUUUGAAUGAUUAAUGAUUAAAUUUAAUUUAAAAAAGAAUAAAGAUCAAAUUGAUAAGAAGUGUAAAUAUUGAGGACUAAAUCUGGCAUUAUGCCUUUUUAAAUGUUUCAUUUUAAAGGAUGAAUAUAAUUCUACCAUGGAAUCUAAUAAUUUCAUUGUUAAAAGUAAUUGGACUUAAUUAGGUUUCAAUGAACGGGGUGUUUCUUUUAAUUAUUCCGCUUUAUUUUAUCAAAAUUAUUGUAGGUACCUUUAGGUAAUGACAAGAUUGUUUGUCAUUAACUUAAUGGUAUAUGUUUCUUUUGAGAAAAUUUUCAGAUUCUGAUAUAACUCAGCAUAUACUAUGCUAUGGUGCCAUAACUGAAUUUGAGGAGACAUAUGCAAUGACAAGGAAAAUAAAUUUUGCUCAAUUCUAAUAAUAAAAGUAUCUACCAUGUGAGAAUUUACCAUGUCCCCAUAGCAUCUGCCAAAUGAACAGGUUAAAUUUUUUUUAAAUACUACGUAAAAAUGAUUUUUGAAUCAAUUUUUAUAAUUUCAAGGUUAAAUUUUGCUAUCAGCCUCUCUACUUUGGAAAAAGUUAUGGAUUUAGUCCUUGUGUUUGAAUUUGAUCAUUUUUAGUCUAUGUACUUUUUAAAUUUUGUUUCAGUCAUCACUAAACGGCAACUAUUUAAAUUUAUUAUGCUAUGCUAUUUCAAAAAUCCAAUGCAGUAUUAUCAUAUGUUUAGCUCCAUGUCAUUUCGACAUAUUACUCGCUAAAAUUCAGUCGUGUCAAGAUUGAAAUAUCAAAAUUCGAAAAAGUAUAGAGACUUAGAAUGAUCCAAUUGGAGAAUAUGGACUAAAUCUAUAAUUGUACGCAUAAUACAUGACUAGUAAUUGAAUUUAAUUACUUGGAUUUAAUUGCUACUGUUUGAGUCAUGACUAAAAUUUUAAAAUCUGAAAAGUAUAAGAACUAAAUCCAUAAUUUUAGCAAAAUACAGGGACUAAUAUAACAAUUUAACCAAGAAUAAUUCAGGGGCAAACAUUUUGAGAGGAUGAAAUGUAAUUUUAUUAUUAUUACUUUAUAAUUUUAUAAACUGUAAAAGAAGUUAAAAAUAUUGUUUUUAGGGGGUGGGGACCUGCCAGCCCCUGAAACAAUUAUAGAAUUUUGAACUAAUCUAUUUGAGAGGCUGUGUAAGGAUUUAAUAGAUUUUGUGUAUUAAUCACCAACCAUUUUAUAUGUGAAUAGCUGUCUUUUUUUGGCACGGUUUAUUACAAUGAAUGAAGCUGAGGGACUGAGAUAAUUGUAUGCAUAUAACGAUACUUGAAACCAUGAAUAUUAGGGGUCACUUCCCAUAAAAAAUAUUAGAAUCAUUGAUUUAAACUAAUAAUGCAGUGGGGGCAUCCAAUUUCUCUAGCUGGAAAUGAAAGAUGUAAAGCAAUAUUUUUAAAUAAAAAAUAAAACCCACCAUAUCAACAUGUGAUUAUACAGGCAAGAGGAUGGUCUAAUCAUCUCGAUCGGUCAGCUAUCAUGUGGCCCCCUAUGUUGCAUUAAUCAAAAUAUUUUUAUUUUGCUAGAUUUUAUAAUUAUUAUAUUUCAUCGUAAUUAAUUACAUUCAAACAUGUCUUAAUCGUGGUUUUAUAUUUAAUCCAAAACUUUUAUUCUCAUCCGUGAAUAUGGCUUUUACUUCAAAAGAAAACACUAAAGUGCUUUGUGGCCUUUAUUUCCAAAAAAGACAUGACAUUUGGCUUAGCAGAUAAUAUAAAAUAACCAGAUGGCGUUAGACCAUAUCGAAGAGAGGUUACUGUUAGCAGAUUAUUUACAACAUUAAAAGUAACAUAAAAAAACACUAAACCGAUAAUCAAGGGUAACAAAAAUUUAUAGAGAUAGAAUGAGGCAUAUCUAAGUUGUGAACCUAUGUCAUGCGUAGGUCAACCAUACAACUUGUACGGCAGUCCAUACAAAGGUAGGGUCAGAUUUUGUGGUAUAACCCGGCCGCUGUGUAUUUUCUUUAAAGAGAAGGCAAUACAUCGUCAAGAAGACACAUUUUACUUGGAUAAUAUGUUUUAAUUGUCCUUAAUUCCCAUAUUACUAUUUUUUUGAUAUAGAAUUUGGUUACUUCCAACUGCUUUAUAUUUAAAUAUUCAACGUUUUCAGAUAUGCAUGAGGAGAAUAUCGUAAAAUCAAACUAAAAUCUAUUGUUUCUUUCUAAAUAAAUACGGAUUAGAUAGCAGAGAUUAAAUCUUUAUAUGUACACAUCCUUGUAUUUGUAAAGGCAAAGUAAUAGAGUGCCAACUUGCAAAUUUUGGCAGCUGCCUUUCGAACCAAGCCCAUCUUCACGUGAUGUGCUUCUGCUUCUAGGGCUUGUUCAUUUUUGUUUGUUUUCUUCUACUCUUUGAUAUUUUGCUUAUAAAUCUUGCUUCUUUACAAUCCUUUUUUACACUCAAUUCUCUCUUUGGGUUUGAAAAAUGGAGUCCAACACCAAAAUGUCAGCUCUUCUUUUGCUUUGCAUGCUUUUCAUUUCUUCAGUGACACCAAUUCUUGGGUGUGGUUCAUGUGGGAAAGCACCACACAAGCAUCGAAAGCCUAAGGGAAAGUCCCCUAAAGGUCCCAUCACUUUGCCUCCCCUUGUGAAACCUCCAAUCAAGUUGCCACCGGUUGUUCCUCCAAUAGUUAAGCCACCCAUUGACCUCCCUCCGGUUACAGUCCCUCCAAUUAACCUCCCUCCAGGGACGGUUCCUCCAGUAACUAAGCCACCAAGUGGGAAACCCUGCCCAACACCACCAACCAAGGACACUUGCCCCAUUGACACACUGAAAUUGGGUGCUUGUGUGGAUCUGNNNNNNNN
This 9665-nucleotide long non-coding RNA is filed under the name Gossypium barbadense (sea-island cotton). Its description in RNAcentral is "long non-coding RNA (GBAR_LNC015908)". Lineage: Eukaryota; Viridiplantae; Streptophyta; Magnoliopsida; Malvales; Malvaceae. The record is from RNAcentral.